This 497-nucleotide ribosomal RNA is filed under the name uncultured bacterium. RNAcentral describes it as "partial 16S ribosomal RNA". It matches the Rfam family "Bacterial small subunit ribosomal RNA", at positions 28 to 507 of the family's 1533-position model. The record is from RNAcentral.
GAUGAACGCUGGCGGCGUGCCUAAUACAUGCAAGUCGAGCGAACGGACGAGAAUCUUGCUUCUCUGAUGUUAGCGGCGGACGGGUGAGUAACACGUGGAUAACCUACCUAUAAGACUGGGAUAACUUCGGGAAACCGUAGCUAAUACCGGAUAAUAUUUUGAACCGCAUGGUUCAAAAGUGAAAGACGGUCUUGCUGUCACUUAUAGAUGGAUCCGCGCUGCAUUAGCUAGUUGGUAAGGUAACGGCUUACCAAGGCAACGAUGCAUAGCCGACCUGAGAGGGUGAUCGGCCACACUGGAGCUGGGACACGGUCAAGACUCCUACGGGAGGCAGCAGUAGGGCAUCUUCCGCACUGGGGGAAAGACUGACGGAGAAACGCCGCGUGAGUGAUGCAGGUCUUCGGAGCGUAAAACUCUGUUAUUAGGGAAGAAAAGAUGUGUAAGUAACUGAGCACAUAUUGACGGUACCUAAUCAGAAAGCCACGGCUAAAUACGUG